CGGAGCUGCGGGAGGAUGGAGCCGCUGAAGGUGGAAAAGUUCGCAACCGCCAACAGGGGAAACGGGCUGCGCGCCGUGACCCCGCUGCGCCCCGGAGAGCUGCUCUUCCGCUCGGAUCCCUUGGCGUACACGGUGUGCAAGGGCAGUCGUGGCGUGGUCUGCGACCGCUGCCUUCUCGGGAAGGAAAAGCUGAUGCGAUGCUCUCAGUGCCGCGUCGCCAAAUACUGUAGUGCUAAGUGUCAGAAAAAAGCUUGGCCAGACCACAAGCGGGAAUGCAAAUGCCUUAAAAGCUGCAAGCCCAGAUAUCCUCCAGACUCCGUUCGACUUCUUGGCAGAGUUGUCUUCAAACUUAUGGAUGGAGCACCUUCAGAAUCAGAGAAGCUUUACUCAUUUUAUGAUCUGGAGUCAAAUAUUAACAAACUGACUGAAGAUAAGAAAGAGGGCCUCAGGCAACUCGUAAUGACAUUUCAACAUUUCAUGAGAGAAGAAAUACAGGAUGCCUCUCAGCUGCCACCUGCCUUUGACCUUUUUGAAGCCUUUGCAAAAGUAAGUGUUAAGUUUGCUCUUUGCUAAUUCCAUACAUCAACCAUUUGCUCCUUAUUUUGUCGUUGGUUACAAAAAUGUCGAGAAUCUUGACAGGAAAUUCAAGACCCUUAAUGCCUUAUAUUACUUCCUUAUCAUAGUGAGUAGAGCAUGAGAGAAUAUAUUGUGUGCAUUGAGAAGGGUAUGAAUUUUUCUGUUUGAUUAAUAUUCUUGUUAUUGCCUGAGUAUGUUCAUUGUCAAUUCUCAAAGUGUACCCUUGGAAGAAAGAGUAUGCUUUCUUUUCUCAGAAGAAAAUAGCAUAUCCCAUUAUUUUUUGUGAAUGGACUUGUUUGCCAUUGCAUUGCAUUCAUUGAGUUUUAUGGUGGUUGUUUAAGCAUAGAGCCUGUCUUUGAAAUGAAAAAUUUAUUGAAAUCCAUUUCUUUUCUUUUCUUUUUUGUUUU
This 983-nucleotide small RNA is filed under the name Pan troglodytes (chimpanzee). RNAcentral describes it as "processed transcript". The record is from RNAcentral. Lineage: Eukaryota; Metazoa; Chordata; Mammalia; Primates; Hominidae.